This 421-nucleotide ribosomal RNA is filed under the name uncultured bacterium. RNAcentral describes it as "bacterial SSU rRNA". It matches the Rfam family "Bacterial small subunit ribosomal RNA", at positions 508 to 927 of the family's 1533-position model. The record is from RNAcentral.
GCAGCAGCCGCGGUAAGACAGAGGGGGCAAGCGUUGCUCGGAAUUACUGGGCGUAAAGGGCGCGUAGGCGGGAUGGCAAGUCGGUCGUGAAAUCCCUCGGCUCAACUGAGGAGCGUCGAUCGAUACUGCCGUUCUUGAGGAUUGCAGAGGAGACUGGAAUUCCCGGUGUAGCGGUGAAAUGUGUAGAGAUCGGGAGGAACACCGGUGGCGAAGGCGGGUCUCUGGGCAAUUCCUGACGCUGAGGCGCGAAAGCGUGGGGAGCAAACGGGAUUAGAUACCCCGGUAGUCCACGCUGUAAACGAUGACGACUAGGUGUGGGGGGGUUCAGUCCCUUCCGUGCCGCAGCUAACGCAUUAAGUCGUCCGCCUGGGGAGUACGGCCGCAAGGUUGAAACUCAAAGGAAUUGACGGGGGCCCGCACA